Molecule: ribosomal RNA, 632 nt
Filed under: Micrococcus luteus
Lineage: Bacteria; Bacillati; Actinomycetota; Actinomycetes; Micrococcales; Micrococcaceae
Description: bacterial SSU rRNA
Rfam family: Bacterial small subunit ribosomal RNA
Source: RNAcentral
GCCAGCAGCCGCGGUAAUACGUAGGGUGCGAGCGUUAUCCGGAAAUUUUGGGCGUAAAGAGCUCGUAGGCGGUUUGUCGCGUCUGUCGUGAAAGUCCGGGGCUUAACCCUGGAUCUGCGGUGGGUACGGGCAGACUAGAGUGCAGUAGGGGAGACUGGAAUUCCUGGUGUAGCGGUGGAAUAUAUAGAUAUCAGGAGGAACACCGAUGGCGAAGGCAGGUCUCUGGGCUGUAACUGACGCUGAGGAGCUGAAAGCAUGGGGAGCGAACAGGAUUAGAUACCCUGGUAGUCCAUGCCGUAAACGUUGGGCAGAUCGUGUGGGGAUCAUUCCACGGUUUCCGCGCCGCAGCUAACGCAUUAAGUGCCCUCGCCUGGGGAGUACGGCCGCAAGGCUAAAACUCAAAGGAAUUGACGAUCGCCCGCACAAGCGGCGGAGCAUGCGGAUUAAUUCGAUGCAACGCGAAGAACCUUACCAAGGCUUGACAUGUUCUCGAUCGCCGUCAGAGAUACGGUUUCCCCAUUUGGGGUGGGUUCACAGUGGUGCAUGGGUUGUCGUCAGCUCGAUGUCGUGAGAUGUUGGGUUAAGUCCCGCAACGAGCGCACCCUCGUUCCAUGUUGCCAGCACGUCGACCA